CAGCACGGACUUCGGUCUGGUGGCGAGUGGCGAACGGGUGAGUAAUGUAUCGGAACGUGCCUAGUAGCGGGGGAUAACUACGCGGCGUAGCUAAUACCGCAUACGCCCUUCGGGGAAAGCGGGGGACCUUCGGGCCUCUUACUGGCCAAACGGCCGAUAUCGGAUUAGCUAGUUGGUGGGGUAACGGCUCGCAAGGCGACGAUCGUAGCUGGUUUGAGAGGACGACCAGCCACACUGGGACUGAGACACGGCCCAGACUCCUACCGGGAGGCAGCAGUGGGGAAUUUUGGACAAUGGGAAACCACAGUCCAGCCAUCCCGCGUGUGCGAUGAAGGCCUUCGGGUUGUAAAGCACUUUUUUUGGCAGAAAGAAACGGCACGGGAUAAUACCCCGUGCAACUGACGAGCACCUGCAGAAUAAGCACCGGCUAACUACGUGCCAGCAGCCGCGGUAAUACGUAGGGUGCAAGCGUUAAUCGGAAUUUUUGGGCGUAAAGCGUGCGCAGGCGGUUCGGAAAGAAAGAUGUGAAAUCCCAGAGCUUAACUUUGGAACUGCAUUUUUAACUACCGAGCUAGAGUGUGUCAGAGGGAGGUGGAAUUCCGCGUGUAGCAUUGGAAAUGCGUAGAUAUGCCGGAGGAACACCGAUAGCACGAAGGCGACCUCCUGGGAUAACACUGGCAGCUCAUGCACGAAAGCGUGGGGGAGCAAACAGGAUUAGAUACCCUGGUAGUCCACGCCCUAAACGAUGUAACUAGCUGUUGGGGCCUUCGGGCCUUGGUAGCGCAACUAACGCGUGAGAUUGACCGCCUGGGGAGAAUACGGUCCGCAGAUUAAAACUCAAAGGAAUUGACGGGGACCCGCACAAGCGGUGGAUGAUGUGGAUUAAUUCGAUGCAACGCGAAAAACCUUACCUACCCUUGACAUGUCUGGAAUCCCGAAGAAGAGAUUUGGGGAGUGCUCGCAAGAGAACCGGAACACAGGUGCUGCAUGGCUGUCGUCAGCUCGUGUCGUGAGGAUGUUGGGUUAAGUCCCGCAACAGGCGCAACCCUUGUCAUUAGUUGCUACGAAAGGGCACUCUAAUGAGACUGCCGGUGACAAACCGGAGGAAGGUGGGGAUGACGUCAAGUCCUCAUGGCCCUUAUGGGUAGGGGCUUCACACGUCAUACAAUGGUCAGGGACAGAGGGUCGCCAACCCGCGAGGGGGAGCCAAUCCCAGAAACCCGAUCGUAGUCGGAUCGCAGUCUGCAACUCGACUGCGUGAAGUCGGAAUCGCUAGUAAUCGCGGAUCAGCAUGUCGCGGUGAAUACCGUUCCCGGGUCUUGUACACCGCCCGUCACACCAUGGGAGUGGGUUUUACCAGAAGUAGUUAGCCUAACCGUAAGGAGGGCGAUUACCACGGUAGGAUUCUUGACUGGGGUGAAGUCGUAACAGGUAA
RNAcentral lists this ribosomal RNA (1435 nucleotides) under uncultured Bordetella sp. Its description in RNAcentral is "partial 16S-23S ribosomal RNA intergenic spacer". It matches the Rfam family "Bacterial small subunit ribosomal RNA". The record is from RNAcentral. Lineage: Bacteria; Pseudomonadati; Pseudomonadota; Betaproteobacteria; Burkholderiales; Alcaligenaceae.